Molecule: ribosomal RNA, 292 nt
Filed under: uncultured bacterium
Lineage: Bacteria
Description: partial 16S ribosomal RNA
Rfam family: Bacterial small subunit ribosomal RNA
Source: RNAcentral
GUGCCAGCCGCCGCGGUAAUACGGAGGGGGCUAGCGUUGUUCGGAAUUACUGGGCGUAAAGGGCACGUAGGCUGGCUGUUAAGUCGGGGGUGAAAUCCUGAGGCUCAACCUCAGAAUUGCCUCCGAUACUGGCGGUCUCGAGUGCGGGAGAGGUGAGUGGAAUUCCGAGUGUAGAGGUGAAAUUCGUAGAUAUUCGGAGGAACACCAGUGGCGAAGGCGGCUCACUGGCUCGAUACUGACGCUGAGGUGCGAAAGUGUGGGGAGCAAACAGGAUUAGAAACCCUGGUAGUCC